RNAcentral lists this ribosomal RNA (468 nucleotides) under uncultured bacterium. RNAcentral describes it as "partial 16S ribosomal RNA". It matches the Rfam family "Bacterial small subunit ribosomal RNA", at positions 28 to 507 of the family's 1533-position model. The record is from RNAcentral.
GACGAACGCUGGCGGCGUGCUUAACACAUGCAAGUCGAACGGAAAGGCCCUGCUUUUGUGGGGUGCUCGAGUGGCGAACGGGUGAGUAACACGUGAGUAACCUGCCCUUGACUUUGGGAUAACUUCAGGAAACUGGGGCUAAUACCGGAUAGGAGCUCAUGCUGCAUGGUGGGGGUUGGAAAGUUUCGGCGGCUGGGGAUGGACUCGCGGCUUAUCAGCUUGUUGGUGGGGUAGUGGCUUACCAAGGCUUUGACGGGUAGCCGGCCUGAGAGGGUGACCGGCCACAUUGGGACUGAGAUACGGCCCAGACUCCUACGGGAGGCAGCAGUGGGGAAUAUUGCACAAUGGGCGGAAGCCUGAUGCAGCAACGCCGCGUGCGGGAUGACGGCCUUCGGGUUGUAAACCGCUUUCGCCUGUGACGAAGCGUGAGUGACGGUAAUGGGUAAAGAAGCACCGGCUAACUACGUG